This is a non-coding RNA of Camellia sinensis, 149 nucleotides long. The record is from RefSeq and is a predicted model, not a curated record. Lineage: Eukaryota; Viridiplantae; Streptophyta; Magnoliopsida; Ericales; Theaceae.
UGAAGACUUACACCGAACGAUUCAAUUUCUUCAACAAAGAAAUGUUAAUGUUGUUCACGAUGAACGUGACCUUAAUACUAUUCAUAUUCAUGAGGCAAAGAAAAAACACAAAGCAACAUCAAAGGAGAUAAAAAAGGCUAUCGCUUCUG